This 253-nucleotide ribosomal RNA is filed under the name uncultured bacterium. RNAcentral describes it as "partial 16S ribosomal RNA". It matches the Rfam family "Bacterial small subunit ribosomal RNA", at positions 524 to 776 of the family's 1533-position model. The record is from RNAcentral.
GACGAGGGAUCCUAGCGUUGCUCGGAAUCAUUGGGCGUAAAGAGGGCGUAGGUGGCUAGGUAAGUCAGGUGUGAAAGCCCAGGGCUCAACCCUGGAAGUGCAUUUGAUACUGCUUAGCUUGAGUGUUGGAGAGGUUAUCGGAAUACCUGGUGUAGUGGUGAAAUACGUAGAUAUCAGGUGGAACACCGGAGGCGAAGGCGGGUAACUGGCCAAACACUGACACUGAGGCCCGAAAGCAUGGGGAUCAAACAGG